CCUACGGGAGGCAGCAGUAGGGAAUCUUCCACAAUGGACGAAAGUCUGAUGGAGCAACGCCGCGUGAGUGAAGAAGGGUUUCGGCUCGUAAAGCUCUGUUGGUAGUGAAGAAAGAUAGAGGUAGUAACUGGCCUUUAUUUGACGGUAAUUACUUAGAAAGUCACGGCUAACUACGUGCCAGAAGCCGCGGUAAUACGUAGGUGGCAAGCGUUGUCCGGAUUUGUUGGGCGUAAAGCGAGUGCAGGCGGUUCAAUAAGUCUGAUGUGAAAGCCUUCGGCUCAACCGGAGAAUUGCAUCAGAAACUGGUGAACUUGAGUGCAGAAGAGGAGAGUGGAACUCCAUGUGUAGCGGUGGAAUGCGUAGAUAUAUGGAAGAACACCAGUGGCGAAGGCGGCUUUCUGGUCUACAACUGACGCUGAGGCUCGAAAGCAUGGGUAGCGAACAGGAUUAGAUACCCGAGUAGUC
This 465-nucleotide ribosomal RNA is filed under the name uncultured bacterium. RNAcentral describes it as "partial 16S ribosomal RNA". It matches the Rfam family "Bacterial small subunit ribosomal RNA", at positions 338 to 795 of the family's 1533-position model. The record is from RNAcentral.